GGGCCCGUAGCUCAGCAUGGACAGAGCAGUAGACAUGUGAGCUAAAGGUCCAGGGUUCAAAUCCCUGCGGGCCCGCCA
This 78-nucleotide transfer RNA is filed under the name Candidatus Bathyarchaeota archaeon. RNAcentral's name for it is "tRNA-Thr". It matches the Rfam family "tRNA". From Rfam's summary of the family: Transfer RNA (tRNA) molecules are approximately 80 nucleotides in length. Their secondary structure includes four short double-helical elements and three loops (D, anti-codon, and T loops). Further hydrogen bonds mediate the characteristic L-shaped molecular structure. tRNAs have two regions of fundamental functional importance: the anti-codon, which is responsible for specific mRNA codon recognition, and the 3' end, to which the tRNAs corresponding amino acid is attached (by aminoacyl-tRNA synthetases). tRNAs cope with the degeneracy of the genetic code in two manners: having more than one tRNA (with a specific anti-codon) for a particular amino acid; and 'wobble' base-pairing, i.e. permitting non-standard base-pairing at the 3rd anti-codon position. The record is from RNAcentral. Lineage: Archaea; Thermoproteati; Candidatus Bathyarchaeota.